RNAcentral lists this unclassified non-coding RNA (411 nucleotides) under Schizosaccharomyces pombe (fission yeast). The record is from RNAcentral. Lineage: Eukaryota; Fungi; Ascomycota; Schizosaccharomycetes; Schizosaccharomycetales; Schizosaccharomycetaceae.
CGACUAAAAUCUAGUAGGAAAUCUAGUUGUCAAUGAGCUCCUUGGAGACGUACUUGCCGUCCUUGUCCAAGUGGUAGACAAUGGGGACACCAGUGGCAAGCUCACGCUUGACAAUUUGGUCACCAGUAAGACCCUCCAAGUCCAUGAUCAAGGCACGGAGAGAGUUACCGUGAGCGGCAAUGAGAACCUUCUCACCCUUAAGGAUGUGAGGGACAAUGGUGGACUUGUAGUAGGGCAAGACACGCUCGGCGGUGUCCUUCAAGGACUCACCGUUGGGAGGAGCAAUGUCAUAAGAACGGCGCCAGAUUUGGACUUGCUCAGCACCCCAUUUCUUACGACAUAUACACUGUUUUUCUACACUAACUCAUUUCUAUGAUGUUGUAUAAUGCAAUUUCUUUUUUUGAAAUCAAA